ACUUAGCGUAAGCUAGGUAUCCUAAUUUAUUAGGAAGCGAACGAGGGGAAGUGAAACAUCUCAGUACCCUUAGGAAAAGACAUCAAUAGAGAUUCCCCUAGUAGCGGCGAGCGAACGGGGAGGAGCCGACGGAUUUAUAUGUAGAAGAACAGUGUGGGAAAGCUGGCCAUAGUGGGUGAUAGCCCCGUAUUCGAAACAUAUAAUGAAGCAUAUUAAGUAGUGCGGGACACGAGAAAUCCUGUAUGAAGAUGGGGGGACCAUCCUCCAAGGCUAAAUACUCCUGACUGACCGAUAGUGAACCAGUACCGUGAGGGAAAGGCGAAAAGAACCCCUGUGAGGGGAGUGAAAUAGAACCUGAAACCGUGUGCGUACAAGCAGUGGGAGCACCCUUGAGGUGUGACCGCGUACCUUUUGUAUAAUGGGUCAGCGACUUAUAUUCUGUAGCAAGGUUAACCGUUAGGGGAGCCGUAGGGAAACCGAGUCUUAAUAGGGCGCCAUAGUUGCAGGGUAUAGACCCGAAACCGAGUGAUCUAUCCAUGAGCAGGUUGAAAGUGCCGUAACAGGCACCGGAGGACCGAACCCACUGUCGUUGAAAAGCCAGGGGAUGACUUGUGGAUAGGGGUGAAAGGCUAAUCAAACUCGGUGAUAGCUGGUUCUCCCCGAAAGCUAUUUAGGUAGCGCCUCGGACGAAUACCAUUGGGGGUAGAGCACUGUUUCGGCUAGGGGGUCAUACCGACUUACCAAACCGAUGCAAACUCCGAAUACCGAUGAGUAAUAUCCGGGAGACACACGGCGGGUGCUAACGUCCGUCGUGGAGAGGGAAACAACCCAGACCGCCAGCUAAGGCCCCAAAUUCCUAGUUAAGUGGGAAACGAAGUGGGAAGGCAUAGACAGCUAGGAGGUUGGCUUAGAAGCAGCCAUCCUUUAAAGAAAGCGUAAUAGCUCACUAGUCGAGUCGGCCCGCGCGGAAGAUGUAACGGGGCUCAAACUAGGAGCCGAAGCUGCGGAUUUGAAAAUUGUUUCAAGUGGUAGGGGAGCGUUGUGUAAGCCUGUGAAGGUGUAUCGUAAGGUAUGCUGGAGGUAUCACAAGAGCGAAUGCUGACGUGAGUAACGAUAAUGCGAGUGAAAAGCUCGCACGCCGGAAGAUCAAGGGUUCCAGUCCAACGUUAAUCGGGGCUGGGUGAGUCGACCCCUAAGGCGAGGCCGAAAGGCGUAGUCGAUGGGAAAUCGGUUAAUAUUCCGAUACUUGUUUAUGAUGUGAUGGAGGGACGGAGAAGGUUAUGCCAGCCUGGCGAUGGUUGUCCAGGUGGAAGGAUGUAGGUAGACGGCUUAGGCAAAUCCGGGCUGUUAAUACUGAGAUCUGAUAGCAAGCUGUACUUGUACAGCGAAGUGGCAAAUACCAUGCUCCAGGAAAAGCUUCUAAACUAUAGUCAUAAACGAAUCGUACCCUAAACCGACACAGGUGAUCAGGUAGAGAAUACCAAGGCGCUUGAGAGAACUCUGCUGAAGGAACUAGGCAAAAUGGUACCGUAACUUCGGGAGAAGGUACGCUGUGGAUGGUGAAACCCUUGCGGUGUAAGCUAUUGACAGUCGCAGAUACCAGGCUGCUGCAACUGUUUAUUAAAAACACAGCACUCUGCAAACACGAAAGUGGACGUAUAGGGUGUGAUGCCUGCCCGGUGCUGGAAGGUUAAUUGAUGGGCUUAGCGUAUGCGAAGGUCUUGAUCGAAGCCCCAGUAAACGGCGGCCGUAACUAUAACGGUCCUAAGGUAGCGAAAUUCCUUGUCGGGUAAGUUCCGACCUGCACGAAUGGCAUAAUGAUGGCAGCGCUGUCUCCAGCAGAGACUCAGUGAAAUCGAAAUCGCAGUGAAGAUGCUGUGUACCCGCGGCUAGACGGAAAGACCCCGUGAACCUUUACUACAGCUUUACAUUGAACUUUGACCUGACUUGUGCAGGAUAGGUGGGAGGCUUUGAAGCAGAUACGCCAGUAUCUGUGGAGCCAUCCUUGAAAUACCACCCUGGUCAUGUUGGGGUUCUAACUCAGGUAUA
Molecule: ribosomal RNA, 2049 nt
Filed under: Psychrobacter raelei
Lineage: Bacteria; Pseudomonadati; Pseudomonadota; Gammaproteobacteria; Moraxellales; Moraxellaceae
Description: partial 23S ribosomal RNA
Rfam family: Bacterial large subunit ribosomal RNA
Source: RNAcentral